Molecule: long non-coding RNA, 3905 nt
Organism: Antechinus flavipes (yellow-footed antechinus)
Lineage: Eukaryota; Metazoa; Chordata; Mammalia; Dasyuromorphia; Dasyuridae
Exons: 3
Source: RefSeq, a predicted model, not a curated record
GGUAAGUGGAAGGAGGGGAAAAGUUGGAACAAAAGAGUUUGCAAUUGUCAGUGCUGAAAAAUUACCCAUGCAUAUAUCUUGUAAAUAAAAAGCUAUUUUAAAAAGAGAAAGAGAAAGAGAAAGAGAGAGAGAGAGAGAGAGAAAGACAGACAGACACUGGCUGAGUAUAAGAGGAGAAAUAGGAUAAUAACUGGAGAAGAUGUCUUGUGAUCUAAUUUAAUCUAAUGAUGAAGGUCUAAUGAAUUUUUAAAAAUAGGGGUGAGUUGCAUAUGUUUGAAAUCAGUUGAGAAGGAGCAUAUAGAUAGAGAGAGGGUUGGAGAUUAAAAAGGAAUCUAAUUGCAGGCAAUCUCCUGGAGCAGAUCGAAAAGAAUGGAAUGAAGGGCAUAUGCAGAAGGAUUGACCUUGGCCAGGAAAAGGGGAAUUCAUUACCAGAGGCUAGAAGAAAGAAUGAAUGAAUGAGGAAUAAUAUCAAGGAGUUCUAAGAUGAAGAGAUGAGGAAAAGAAAAAAGUUUGUGGGACUGGUCUUAAUAUUCUCAAUGAAGAGGCAAGGUCCUCAGUUGAAAAGAUAGGAGGAGAAAGGCAGUAUAGGAGGUUAGAGUUAAUAUUGAGAAAAACUUCAACUAGAAGUCAUAAGAUCAAUUUAGCCAUGAAAAAAAAAAUUGGCUUUAUGGCAAGAAGGGCCUAGUUGAGGUUACCUAACAAAAAAUUGUAGAGUAUCCACUUAUUAGUGCUGUGUGACUUCCUCUUCCUCCAUUUAGCAGGACCUGAGUAGAAGGAAAACAAAUGGAUGGUGAGAGUUAUUCGUGGCUCAGAUUUCGCCAAAAAAAAAAAAAAAAAAAAAGAGCUGACAUAAGAUAAGGAAUUAAAGAGUGCAAGAGAAAUAGUGGAUGCACACAUAUAUUUUAUCUAGGAUAUAUUGUAACCUAUUUAACAUGUAUAGGACUGCUUGCCAUCUGGGGAAGGGGGCGGAAAGAGAGAGGGGAAAAAUCGGAACAAAAGUGAGUGCAAGGGAUAAUGUUGUAAAAAAUUACCCUGGCAUGGGUUCUGUCAAUAAAAAGUUAUUUAAAAAAAAGAGAGAGAAAUAGUGGAAAACUGAAUUGAUAAACCACAGGGUUAAGACUAGAGAGGGAAAAAAAGUUAAAGUAUGGUAAUGAGAGGAGUAGACAAAUAAGAGUUUAGGAUGAGAUCAAAGAAUAGAUAUAUAACAAUUAAAGCAGAGAAGAGAAAGAGAGAACAAUUAGACAGAAUAAUAGCAGAGUUUUUUGUUUGUUUGUUUGUUUGAUUAAAGGUAAGUAGGAAGCUUGAUGAGAGUCAAUGUGGCAAGCCAUCUGUGUCGCAGAGGUAGAGGGAAGAAUUUGAGGAGUAUUAGGGAAUAGAAGUGAAGGUAAAGCCCUUGCUGAAGAAGAUGGCCAAGAUUUAAUGCUAUCUGCAGGAAGUCAGGUCUUACUGAGAGCAAGUAGAUGAAAUUGAUAUGAGAGGAAGAAGUCCAGAAAUAAGGGAAAUUUGUCCAUUGUGAAAUAGGAAUUCCAGAAAGCAAAGUGGAAGGGGUGGACAAAAUUGCAAUAAGACAUGGGCAGAAUACGAUUGAGAAGCACAGGCACAUGAGAAGAAAAAUUAGUAUUCUGGUUAGUUCUUUCUACAUUUGUCAUUUCUUAGGUUGCUAGGGCCAAUAUAGGUAUGGGAAAAGAAUAGGUGGAAUUUUGCUAGCCUUAGUAUCAUGUGACUUGUAAUGUUUACACACUCCACAAGGUGGUAGUACAGGUAAGGAAAGGCAAUGCUGAAUAGGGAAAAAGAAAAAAGGAACCCUUUAUCCUAAAAGAUAUGCCCAAAUAAAUGUCCUCUGCUUGAUUUGAAGCUGGAGGAGAGAAGGGAGGGAAGGAGAUGAGAGGCCAAAUAACUAGAAGGAUAGUUGAGAGAAAGCAGCAUCACAGAAACAUAGACAGGAGAGAGCAUUCAACAGUGCCAAAUAAACUGGAAAAGGUCACUGAUUUUACAAGCUGAAGCUUUGAGUACUUUGAAGAGUAUAAUUUCAAUUGAGAUUUUAUAUAUAAUGUUCAAAGCUAGAGGUGGGCAGAAUUGCAUUAAGACAGUGGUAGAACAGGACUAAGAAGCACAGGCACAAGGGGUUAAGAAGUAAUGGGAGAAAGCAGAGGAAAUCAAACUUUUUCUAAGAAUGUGGCUAUGAAAGGAAAAAAUACAGGCUGGUGCAAUCAAGUGAAGAUUUUUUUAAAGAUGAGGAAAAUCUAGAUAUAUUUUAUGCAGAGGAGAAGGAUCUAAUAGUGCAAAGAGUUUUGAGAUGUCUUGUGAGGGAGAAGAAAGAGUUCAUAGUCAAAAGUUUUUAUUUUCUCAGCAAAUUAUGUCAGAUUGUUUGUUGAGAGGGACAGUAAAGAAAAAGCUGGAGAGGAAAAAAAGUUAAAAAAAAAAAAACUCCUAUGAAGAAUUUGAUAAAGUCAACUGGGGAGAGAAAAAGGAUUGUCUUGAAGCAAUAAGAACCCAGUUGAUGUGGCUUAACAAAUUUGUAGUGGACUGUACCAGUAUUUCUAAAAUCCAUGUUUGAAAUUUGGCAAAGAACAGUGAUAUAAGACAGGUGGGCGAGGAAUUCAAGAGUAGAGAACUGUGUAAAGUUGAUUAAGAUUGAAAAGAAAGGAAAAUGAAGUUGAAGCAGAAUGAGAAUAAUGAAAGGUGAAACAAAUGAAGGUCAUUGUGAGGAAGAAGAAAGUUAGAAAGAGGCUAAGUAAGACUUCAUAAUAGGAAUUGGUCUUUGACCCCAGAGCUUAGGAUAUAACCACAGAAAGUAAGAGGCAGAUAACUAGAUCAAACUAAAUGUAAAGAUACACCUAUCUUCCUUCUCAUCCUUUAAACUAAGUGUGGAAAAAAAAUCUUGCUACAGAAAAAAAAAAAGCAAGGCAGUCAAGAUGCAACACUUAAGGCAGAAAGCAGCUUCAAGAUUUGCCAGUCUUUCUGGUAGCAAAGAACAGAGUCAAUUGUAGACUCAAGAAAGAGCUAUAACCCUGGCAAGCAGGAAUCAAGCUGAGGAGAAAGAAAAUCAUAAGAGGUAGCCGAGGGAUCUGGCCAGCUGAGAUGCUAUGCUGUCUCUUACAAGAAGUACUCUCAGGAAGGAGAUAAAGUCCAUAUGAGGCCCUGAAGUACCAGGAACAAUGAAAUGAAUACAGAAAAGCAUGAAAAGACAAAAACCAAUGAAUGAAGAAUGAAGGUAUGGCUGAGGCAUUUAAGAGAUCCAUCAAAGAACGGACAAGGCAGACUCUGCCAAUGAUCCUUCACUAUGGGGUGAGAGCUAAGGAAAAAACAAAUCCACUCAAGAGAAGCACCCUAAGAAAGUGGCUGAAGAGAGGUAGCAUCUUCCCAACAUCAAGGCACACUCCAACAGAUUUUGAAGCACAUGCAUCCUACACCGACACAACCCCACUACUCCCCCGAACUGGCUCUUCUGUAACUGAGGUUUUUCAGGAAUCAGGAAUUUAAAGUGAUUGUAUGAUCAAAAGAUCCAGCACUUUGCCACGAAGAAUAUAUAGGAUCUUGCACUGUUAGAUAACAAAUUCAGAGAAAUUUGACGGUUGCAUGUAGAUUGCUCUGUGCACAGGAAUCCAGAGGCACCUGAUCCACUCCAGGCAUCCUUUGACAGUGCACAUGGUGUGAGGGAAGUAGCCGAGGGUGACACUACUACCUUCAGUCUCCAUUCUGGCACGUUGAGCCAGGUUGGAGGAGAGGGAGUGCAUUACCCAGUGGGGUGAGUUUGUGUCGGGGGAAGGGAUGUUCGAAGGAUGCAUUUUCUAUCCCAAAGGCACAGGAACAAUACUCCAGGAAGAGGUUUGCACUCAACCUCAAGGCGGAGAAGGCAAAGAGGUGCAAACCACCAGCUGCAGAGCUAGGAGAAUGCUAGCAAA